CAAUAUAUUUUCAGUUGGCUCCCGAUUGCUUGCAAAACGUGUACCUUGACAGAUAUCGAGUUCUGCAAUCUAGGAGCCUAUACAUGUAAAAGAUUUCUAUUUUCAGUUUGUUCAGAAACUGAACACUUCUGGUAUAGGUCUCUUUAAAUUUUGACCAUUAUACUUGGAUACUGAAAAAAAA
Lingula anatina is the source of this 181-nucleotide long non-coding RNA. Lineage: Eukaryota; Metazoa; Brachiopoda; Lingulata; Lingulida; Lingulidae. The record is from RefSeq and is a predicted model, not a curated record.